GACAGCAUGGCAUAGUGGUUUGAGUGCUGAACUGCAACUCUGGAGAUCAGGGUUUGAUUCCCUGCUUGGCCA
Molecule: transfer RNA, 72 nt
Filed under: Phrynosoma platyrhinos (Desert horned lizard)
Lineage: Eukaryota; Metazoa; Chordata; Lepidosauria; Squamata; Phrynosomatidae
Description: tRNA-OTHER
Source: RNAcentral